CGCGGUAAUACGUAGGGUGCAAGCGUUAUCCGGAAUUAUUGGGCGUAAAGAGCUCGUAGGCGGUCUGUCGCGUCUGCUGUGAAAUCCCGAGGCUCAACCUCGGGCUUGCAGUGGGUACGGGCAGACUAGAGUGCGGUAGGGGAGAUUGGAAUUCCUGGUGUAGCGGUGGAAUGCGCAGAUAUCAGGAGGAACACCGAUGGCGAAGGCAGAUCUCUGGGCCGUAACUGACGCUGAGGAGCGAAAGGGUGGGGAGCAAACAGGCUUAGAUACCCUGGUAGUCCACCCCGUAAACGUUGGGAACUAGUUGUGGGGUCCUUUCCACGGAUUCCGUGACGCAGCUAACGCAUAAG
This 350-nucleotide ribosomal RNA is filed under the name Microbacterium esteraromaticum. Its description in RNAcentral is "bacterial SSU rRNA". It matches the Rfam family "Bacterial small subunit ribosomal RNA", at positions 516 to 864 of the family's 1533-position model. Lineage: Bacteria; Bacillati; Actinomycetota; Actinomycetes; Micrococcales; Microbacteriaceae. The record is from RNAcentral.